CCCUUAGAUGUUCUGGGCCGCACGCGCGCUACACUGAUGAAUUCAACGAGCUCCUAACCUAGGCCGAGGGGUCCGGGUAAUCUUUGAAAUUUCAUCGUGAUGGGGAUAGAUUAUUGCAAUUAUUAAUCUUCAACGAGGAAUUCCUAGUAAGCGCGAGUCAUCAGCUCGCGUUGAUUACGUCCCUGCCCUUUGUACACACCGCCCGUCGCUCCUACCGAUUGAAUGGUCCGGUGAAAUGUUCGGACCGCGACAAGGCGGACGGUUCGCUGUCAGCUUUGCUGCGGGAAGUUCAUUAAACCUUAUCAUUUAGAGGAAGGAGAAGUCGUAACA
This 330-nucleotide ribosomal RNA is filed under the name uncultured eukaryote. RNAcentral's name for it is "partial 18S ribosomal RNA". It matches the Rfam family "Eukaryotic small subunit ribosomal RNA", at positions 1470 to 1796 of the family's 1831-position model. The record is from RNAcentral.